GUACACUCCUGCGGGAGGCAGCAGUGGGGAAUAUUGGACAAUGGGCGCAAGCCUGAUCCAGCCAUGCCGCGUGAGUGAUGAAGGCCCUAGGGUUGUAAAGCUCUUUCACCGGUGAAGAUAAUGACGGUAACCGGAGAAGAAGCACCGGCUAACUUCGUGCCAGCAGCCGCGGUAAUACGAAGGGGGCUAGCGUUGUUCGGAUUUACUGGGCGUAAAGCGCACGUAGGCGGACUAUUAAGUCAGGGGUGAAAUCCCGGGGCUCAACCCCGGAACUGCCUUUGAUACUGGUAGUCUUGAGUUCGAGAGAGGUGAGUGGAAUUCCGAGUGUAGAGGUGAAAUUCGUAGAUAUUCGGAGGAACACCAGUGGCGAAGGCGGCUCACUGGCUCGAUACUGACGCUGAGGUGCGAAAGCGUGGGGAGCAAACAGGAUUAGAAACCCCUGUAGUCCCAUGAU
RNAcentral lists this ribosomal RNA (454 nucleotides) under uncultured organism. RNAcentral's name for it is "partial 16S ribosomal RNA". It matches the Rfam family "Bacterial small subunit ribosomal RNA", at positions 331 to 801 of the family's 1533-position model. The record is from RNAcentral.